GGCUGUUUGAAAAGUACACACAGUCUGACCUGCCCACUGGGAAACUAAAGGGCCGCGGUAUACUGACCGUGCGAAGGUAGCAUAGUAAUUAGUUCUUUAAUUGAGGACUGGAAUGAACGGUUGGACGAGAAGUUAACUGUCUCGGGUAUAAAUUUUGAAGUUUACUUUUAAGUGAAAAGGCUUAAAUAAUAUAAAGGGACGAUAAGACCCUAUAAAACUUUACUCCUUGCUUUUAUAGUUUUUAAAUUGUAAGUGUAAAUUUGCUCUUCGAGCAAGUGUUUUGUUGGGGCGAUAAAAAUAUAAAAUAUUAACUGUUUUUGAAAUAAAAUAAUAAUAAUUAGAUUAGAUGAUCCUUUAAUAUGGAUUACAAGACCAAGUUACUUUAGGGAUAACAGCGUAAUUUCUCUUGAGAGACCAAAUCGACAGAGUUAGUUGCGACCUCGAUGUUGAAUUAAGAUAUCAUUUAGGCGUAGAAGUCUAAAUAGUAGGUCUGUUCGACCUUUAAAAUCUUACAUGAUUUGAGU
Molecule: ribosomal RNA, 524 nt
Filed under: Lysmata rafa
Lineage: Eukaryota; Metazoa; Arthropoda; Malacostraca; Decapoda; Hippolytidae
Description: partial 16S ribosomal RNA
Rfam family: Bacterial large subunit ribosomal RNA
Source: RNAcentral